GGAUAUCUCGGCUCACGCAUCGAUGAAGAACGUAGCAAAAUGCGAUACUUGGUGUGAAUUGCAGAAUCCCGUGAACCAUCGAGUUUUUGAACGCAAGUUGCGCCCGAAGCCUUUUGGCCGAGGGCACGUCUGCCUGGGCGUCACAC
RNAcentral lists this ribosomal RNA (146 nucleotides) under Senecio fresenii. RNAcentral's name for it is "partial 5.8S ribosomal RNA". It matches the Rfam family "5.8S ribosomal RNA". From Rfam's summary of the family: 5.8S ribosomal RNA (5.8S rRNA) is a component of the large subunit of the eukaryotic ribosome. It is transcribed by RNA polymerase I as part of the 45S precursor that also contains 18S and 28S rRNA. Functionally, it is thought that 5.8S rRNA may be involved in ribosome translocation. The record is from RNAcentral. RNAcentral also lists the same sequence under 2 other names. Lineage: Eukaryota; Viridiplantae; Streptophyta; Magnoliopsida; Asterales; Asteraceae.